This is a non-coding RNA of Triticum aestivum (bread wheat), 136 nucleotides long. NCBI's taxonomy places the organism in Eukaryota, Viridiplantae, Streptophyta, Magnoliopsida, Poales, Poaceae. The record is from Rfam.
UGUGUACUUCCUCCGUUCCAAAAUACUUGACUUCCAUUUGUCCAAAAAUGGAUGUACCUAUAUACUAAGACAUGUCUAGAUACAUAUAUAUUUUGACAAAUAGAAGGCAUGUAUUGUGCAAUGGAGGGAGUAGAAU